CCGAGUUUACAACUCCCAAACCCAAUGUGAACGUUACCAAACUGUUGCCUCGGCGGGGUCACGCCCCGGGUGCGUAAAAGCCCCGGAACCAGGCGCCCGCCGGAGGAACCAACCAAACUCUUUCUGUAGUCCCCUCGCGGACGUAUUUCUUACAGCUCUGAGCAAAAAUUCAAAUGAAUCA
RNAcentral lists this unclassified non-coding RNA (181 nucleotides) under soil metagenome. RNAcentral describes it as "partial internal transcribed spacer 1". The record is from RNAcentral.